UACACACACAUUCCCAAUUAUAAAAGGGUGUGCACACUUAUGCUAGCUGGCUAUUGGAAGUUUUUUGUUUUUCUAUUUUAUAUUACGAUCAUAAAUAAUCAAAUCAAUAAACUUGUGCUAGAAUCAAAAUGUGCAGACGGGUGAUCCGCUGUGUCAUCCCUGAAGGGCAGCAGUCAGAGAGGAAAAUAAUUAUAACUUUCUUUUACUUUGACCUCGAUUAAAAUGGCUGGUUCCCUAUGUGAAGAAACAAGUUCCCCAGAUUCUUCACUUGAUGCAGUAUCCUGACUUUACAUUCAGCCAAUCAUCAGCAACAUGGGAGAUGUCAUGUGAUGCUGUGGGGUGGAGCUUCAUGAACCUUUCGGAUGUUUACAUAAUAGAGUACAGAAAGACCUUUUAUGUAAAUAAGAAUAUUUUCAUUUGGCAAGACCAUUCAUCAUGUUCUUGGUUAUGCUGGUGUGCCUGUGGCUUUCACUAAGUGACUCCAUGGCAGAUCCAAUAAAGCCACUUUUCAGUCAUAAAGUUGUACAUGAAGAUGAUGAUGUUACUUUGUCCUGUAGCUACAAAGACUUCAGUGGUAGUGUAAAUAAUCUGCAAUGGUACAGGCAAUAUCCAAAAUCCAAACCUGAGUUCCUUCUUUACAUCUAUCCAAGCGGAGUUAAAAGUGACCCCAUCCCACGUCUGUCUGCUGAAGUUGAUGAUGAUGAUAAAAAACAAGUGGAUCUGCUCAUCUCCUCUGCUGUUGUAUCAGACUCUGCACUAUACUACUGUGCUCUGGAGCCCACAGUGACAGGAAAUCCAUCUGUGCUGUACCAAAACUCUGACACAGUUUUGUUAUGCUAAAGGCAGAACAACUGAUAAAGGUCUACAGUGAGGGAAAAAAGUAUUUGAUCCCCUGCUGAUUUUGUAUGUUUGUCCACUGACAAAGAAAUGAUCAGUCUAUAAUUUUAAUGGUAGGUUUAUUUGAACAGUGAGAGACAGAAUAACAA
Non-coding RNA from Ictalurus furcatus (blue catfish), 986 nucleotides. NCBI's taxonomy places the organism in Eukaryota, Metazoa, Chordata, Actinopteri, Siluriformes, Ictaluridae. The record is from the annotation of a RefSeq genome assembly.